UAUUUCUUAAUAAAUUUGGAAUUAUACAGUCCAAAAAGAUAUUUUGAAGUCUAUAAAUAUAUUUUGGAUUGCUCAUAAAUUUAUUAAAAAACAUGAAAAUAGCUCACUACCUCCGGCGACCACUACCAAUCACGAACACCAUCACCAACAAAAAAACCCCACCAACCAUCAACAACCAACACAAGUACAUCAUAUGGAUAAUAUGGAUAUUCUAACAAUUACAGGGUGCAGGAAGCAAUUGCCCCUUAUGGACCAGAGGCAUCAAGAACCCCAUUGAAGCCCACAGGAGAAAGCCAUGUAGUGUAAUCUCAAACUGAAGUCUUGGACUCAUCUUAACCAAUCACAGAAGAAAAAGAGUUAGCUUCAGAGACAGAACUCACAUUUAAUAAACAAGGGAUUUAACUUGCAAGAUUGGAAAUUAGGCAAGGGGGAAAAAUGAACAGAUUAUGCUGCUAACUUUCUUGAAUAAAAUUUCAGAAUAUGGAAUUUGAUGAAAUACCCUACCUGAAUGUGGUUAUUAUCUUUGGUUCUUGAAGGGCUGCUUGUAAUUUUCUGGUGCUCUUGGGAUGAACCAACAAGGGGAAACAUGAUGAAUACAAGAGAAGCAUGAAAGAAGAAAGAAAUGAGCUUUUGCUGAACUCCCAUUCUUCCAAGUGCAAACUCAAACUCAAUCUCAAUCUCAGUCUCCAAUUCCAGAAGAUAAAAGGAAGCGAAAGAACUAUAACAUUCUAAGCAAAAACUGAAUGUGAUUUCCCAUGAACUGAAAGAGCUUAUCCUCUCUUUUUUUGAAGUGUCUUCUGCUAUGUGUAUGUGAGAUAGGAUUCUGAGCAGAGAGCAGUCUUAUCUAGACAGUAGAACUAAAAAAGUUGCAACCAAUGCAGGAAAAAUGUGAGAUCAACAUGAGGUCAGAUAAAGCUCAUCAGAAGAGAAGGAGUUUAAACUUUAACCUUCCUUUUAAGUAUACAUUUCCUUUCAGAUUAAACUCACAUUUUCUUAAGGUUGUUGCAUGGAAAAAUUGAUUGUUUGUACUAAGUUCGGAAGAUCUUGUAAAUAAUAAAUGGAACUUGAAAUGAGGCAUUAAAUGAGAUUUCAAACUUGUGGGGUUCACUUGGACAGGCUUUUUGAGAAUGUGGACUUGCAGAGCUAAAGUUUGUCAGAUUUCAAUGUGAGGGGUUAAAAUUUAUACAUGUAUAUACUGAGAGAC
RNAcentral lists this small RNA (1204 nucleotides) under Vigna angularis var. angularis. RNAcentral's name for it is "Non-protein coding transcript". The record is from RNAcentral. Lineage: Eukaryota; Viridiplantae; Streptophyta; Magnoliopsida; Fabales; Fabaceae.